RNAcentral lists this ribosomal RNA (468 nucleotides) under uncultured bacterium. Its description in RNAcentral is "partial 16S ribosomal RNA". It matches the Rfam family "Bacterial small subunit ribosomal RNA", at positions 28 to 507 of the family's 1533-position model. The record is from RNAcentral.
GACGAACGCUGGCGGCGUGCUUAACACAUGCAAGUCGAACGGAAAGGCCCUGCUUUUGUGCGGUGCUGGAGUGGCGAACGGGUGAGUAACACGUGAGUAACCUGCCCUUGUCUUUGGGAUAACUUCAGGAAACUGGGGCUAAUAUCGGAUAGGAGACCCUGCUGCAUGGUGGGGGUUGGAAAGUUUCGGCGGUUGGGGAUGGACGCGCGGCUUACCAGCUUGUUGGUGGGGUAGUGGCUUACCAAGGCUUUGACGGGUAGCCGGCCUGAGAGGGUGACCGGCCACAUUGGGACUGAGAUACGGCCCAGACUCCUACGGGAGGCAGCAGUGGGGAAUAUUGCACAAUGGGCGGAAGCCUGAUGCAGCGACGCCGCGUGCGGGAUGACGGCCUUCGGGUUGUAAACCGCUUUCGCCUGUGACGAAGCGUGAGUGACGGUAAUGGGUGAAGAAGCACCGGCUAACUACGUG